AUAUGUGUUGUUGGCAUCGACUUCCUAUGGUUGGGCAAUGGCUUCCGCCUUCCGGACCAGGUGACGUCAGUGGUCUGGAUUUCUGCCAGUGUUCUCCUGCCCAGGAAACGGACUUCCGGCCAGGGCUCCCAGCGGUCUCUGUCUUCCUGGAGCGGCAGACCUCUCAAGUUGCAGUGAGAGACUGAAAAUCAGAUCUCGGGGAAACUUUCAUCAUGGAGAAGGAGAAGGAGCAGCGGAAGACACUAUGGAGAGAAAGCUGGGCACAAGGGCAAAGUAGCUGUGGGAGGAUGACUGUCUGGUGGUCAUCAGUCUGAAGCUUGGCCCCUUGUCUGAAAAGAAGGUCUCUGCCUUCUGGACGAUCUGCUGAGAACACAAAGCUGCUUCUUGAAGCUGGGUGGUUGGCUUUCCUCACCCGACCAGACCCAGCUGGGAGGCACCCUUCUAGCUGUGCCACAGGAAGAUCUGCACAGACAAUUGAAACAACCCAAAUGUCAGAUUUAUGGAGGUCAUGUGUCCUGAGUAUCCACAUCAAGAUACAAACAAGCAAUGAAGCCAGGAAAUUCCAGUUUUCUAACUGGAGCAGACUGGAGACCGAGGGAAGAGAAGUGGACAGCAAAAGGGAGGAAUGGGACGCAGAAUUGGAACCUGUCUUCCUCUAUGUUCACCUGCUAUCCAGGGCAUCUCUGUAUCAUUAAUACCAGUUGCUAUUGUUUGGAAGCACAGAAAAGAUGUCACCUCAAUUUUGUAACAACUUGAUCAUGAGGAAAUGAUCUAGAAUCUGGGCCCAGGAGUAAAGAGAGCUCCCCUCAGGGCAGGAGAAUAUGCACCACUUCUUCCAUCCUUCAGAUUCUGAACAUUUCCAUUCCAUGUUCAAACACCCUCCACUUUCACCCUCAACCUUCUGACUGAGAAACAAAACACACAAACACAAACCCUGACUGUGUUCUACAAACAAGCUAAGGUGAAGAAGGUAUUCAGCUCCUCAGAUGGAAAGAACAGAGAGACACCCAAACUACCUUCAGGGAGGUGCUUUUUCCAAGGCUACACAGGUAAGAAAGAUAGGAAAUGGCUCUCCAUCUUGCAAGAUGGUCAGUGGAAAAGCUGAGAAGCGGGACACUAAGAAGAAACCUGAAGCCAAGCAGGCCAAUGCUGGUGGCAAGGUUAAGAACAGUAACCCCAAGGCUAAAAUGCCAAAGAAGGGGAAAGCCUACUGCAGCCAAUAGAUACCCUAUCCUAGUCAGAGGAUGUGUGUUCCAGAAGGGCUCUGUGCGAUAGGACAUAUCAGCAGCUAGAUCCAGGGUGGAAAAGAAAAAAGAGAAGGUUCUUGCUACGGCCACGAACUGGUUGGUGGUGACCAGAAUGUUGGUACCCACGAAGUUCAACUUGGCCCAAUGCCUAAGAAUCAUCCUGCUGAAGAUGUGUCUUGAAAGCAGUUGAACCUCGCAAAAACCCUUUCAGUCAGCGCAUGAGAAAACCAAGCUGGCAUCACUCCUGGGGCCAUUUUGAUCCUCUUCACUGGACACCACAGAGGACACCACAAAGGCAAGAGGUGGUUUUCCCGAGGCAGCUGAGCGGUAGCUUGCUACUUGUGACUAGACCCCUGGCCCUCAGUCCUCUGUGUAGAACACACCAGAAAUUUGUCAUUGCCACCUCCACCCAGACAUGUCAUGGAGGUGUACUUCAAGAAGAAGAAGCUGCAUAAACCCAGACACCAGCAAGGUGACAUGAUUCUUUAUAUGGAAAACCCAAAAGACUCCACCCCC
Neogale vison (American mink) is the source of this 1763-nucleotide long non-coding RNA. RefSeq lists it as uncharacterized. The record is from RefSeq and is a predicted model, not a curated record. NCBI's taxonomy places the organism in Eukaryota, Metazoa, Chordata, Mammalia, Carnivora, Mustelidae. The transcript has 5 exons.